AUUAGCAUCAGGCGGCGUGUGCCACCAGUGCCAACUGCUCUCCGAGCGGCCAUUAAAGGUCAUGUUUUGAUGACUGAAUGCCACACAGACACCUUGGCUCCCGCGAGGAGGUUCCCCAGGUGCACGUGAAAGGUUAGAAAUUACCUUCCAUCUCGAGGCUGCUGCCCAAGGAAAUAAUUAGAGGGCUUUUAGGAGCGCGAGAUCGACGCUUCCCGAGGACCACACCGAGAGAGAGAGACGACAGAACCGGGAACAACGACCAGCCUGUCAGAGAGAAGGAGAGAACGGCUGCUAAAGUCUGCACACUCUUCAAAAUAAAGGCAAAGAUGCGUCAUUUCCCUUAGAGGCUGCGCAUCCGCGUGUCAGAGGUUGAACCCGGCGGAGCAGGUCCCCGGAGACGCUCACGCUGGGCCGCUGUCCGUGAUGCAUUAAUCAUGUCCGAAUCCUCAAGACAAAGAGCCACGCGUUUCUCGUCUGCAUGUGAAAUGAUGCGACGCGGGCCUGCCACGAGGUUAAACUCUCAAACGUGCUCUUUGAUGGGCUUUAAUGAGAUGUCAGCGCCCAGACGGAUUUCUCUGCUGUCCCGUAAAACAGGCCACGGAGCACGAAGCCGCAUCUCUGUGAUCUGCUCAAAAACACACCUAGAUGUGUCGCAACACUUUCACACAAUCACCGCGUCAGGAGUGUGACGUCUGUCAAGCAGGAUUUAAGUUGAGUUUAUGCAAAGAGGCACCCCAGACAGCAAGCAGUUUCGGUCCAGAUCCGGCCCACAUCCGGCCCCCCAUGGAUUUCACACAGGCCAGAUGUGGGCCGGAUCUGGGCCAACACUAUGUUGUUAUCUGAGACUAAACUGAAAGCCCUUUCAGAUCAGAACCGUGAGUCAAACCUGCUUCAUACUCAUCAACUUCU
Cyprinus carpio carpio is the source of this 909-nucleotide long non-coding RNA. The record is from Ensembl. NCBI's taxonomy places the organism in Eukaryota, Metazoa, Chordata, Actinopteri, Cypriniformes, Cyprinidae.